UUAAGCGACUAAGCGUACACGGUGGAUGCCCUGGCAGUCAGAGGCGAUGAAGGACGUGCUAAUCUGCGAAAAGCGUCGGUAAGGUGAUAUGAACCGUUACAGCCGGCGAUGUCCGAAUGGGGAAACCCAGUGCAAUUCGUUGCACUAUCGUUAACUGAAUACAUAGGUUAACGAGGCGAACCGGGGGAACUGAAACAUCUAAGUACCCCGAGGAAAAGAAAUCAACCGAGAUUCCCCCAGUAGCGGCGAGCGAACGGGGAGCAGCCCAGAGUCUGAAUCAGCUUGUGUGUUAGUGGAACGGUCUGGAAAGUCCGACGGUACAGGGUGAUAGUCCCGUACACCAAAAUGCACAGGCUGUGAACUCGAAGAGUAGGGCGGGACACGUGGUAUCCUGUCUGAAUAUGGGGGGACCAUCCUCCAAGGCUAAAUACUCCUGACUGACCGAUAGUGAACCAGUACCGUGAGGGAAAGGCGAAAAGAACCCCGGCGAGGGGAGUGAAAAAGAACCUGAAACCGUGUACGUACAAGCAGUGGGAGCACCUUCGGGUGUGACUGCGUACCUUUUGUAUAAUGGGUCAGCGACUUAUAUUCUGUAGCAAGGUUAACCGUAUAGGGGAGCCGCAGGGAAACCGAGUCUUAACUGGGCGUUAAGUUGCAGGGUAUAGACCCGAAACCCGGUGAUCUAGCCAUGGGCAGGUUGAAGGUUGGGUAACACUAACUGGAGGACCGAACCGACUAAUGUUGAAAAAUUAGCGGAUGACUUGUGGCUGGGGGUGAAAGGCCAAUCAAACCGGGAGAUAGCUGGUUCUCCCCGAAAGCUAUUUAGGUAGCGCCUCGUGAACUCAUCUUCGGGGGUAGAGCACUGUUUCGGCUAGGGGGUCAUCCCGACUUACCAACCCGAUGCAAACUACGAAUACCGAAGAAUGUUAUCACGGGAGACACACGGCGGGUGCUAACGUCCGUCGUGAAGAGGGAAACAACCCAGACCGCCAGCUAAGGUCCCAAAGUCAUGGUUAAGUGGGAAACGAUGUGGGAAGGCACAGACAGCCAGGAUGUUGGCUUAGAAGCAGCCAUCAUUUAAAGAAAGCGUAAUAGCUCACUGGUCGAGUCGGCCUGCGCGGAAGAUGUAACGGGGCUAAACCAUGCACCGAAGCUGCGGCAGCGACACUAUGUGUUGUUGGGUAGGGGAGCGUUCUGUAAGCCUGCGAAGGUGUGCUGUGAGGCAUGCUGGAGGUAUCAGAAGUGCGAAUGCUGACAUAAGUAACGAUAAAGCGGGUGAAAAGCCCGCUCGCCGGAAGACCAAGGGUUCCUGUCCAACGUUAAUCGGGGCAGGGUGAGUCGACCCCUAAGGCGAGGCCGAAAGGCGUAGUCGAUGGGAAACAGGUUAAUAUUCCUGUACUUGGUGUUACUGCGAAGGGGGGACGGAGAAGGCUAUGUUAGCCGGGCGACGGUUGUCCCGGUUUAAGCAUGUAGGCUGGUUAUCCAGGCAAAUCCGGAUAAUCAAGGCUGAGGUGUGAUGACGAGGCACUACGGUGCUGAAGUAACAAAUGCCCUGCUUCCAGGAAAAGCCUCUAAGCAUCAGGUAACAUCAAAUCGUACCCCAAACCGACACAGGUGGUCAGGUAGAGAAUACCAAGGCGCUUGAGAGAACUCGGGUGAAGGAACUAGGCAAAAUGGUGCCGUAACUUCGGGAGAAGGCACGCUGGUGUGUAGGUGAAGUCCCUGCGGAUGGAGCUGAGACCAGUCGAAGAUACCAGCUGGCUGCAACUGUUUAUUAAAAACACAGCACUGUGCAAACACGAAAGUGGACGUAUACGGUGUGACGCCUGCCCGGUGCCGGAAGGUUAAUUGAUGGGGUUAUCCGUAAGGAGAAGCUCUUGAUCGAAGCCCCGGUAAACGGCGGCCGUAACUAUAACGGUCCUAAGGUAGCGAAAUUCCUUGUCGGGUAAGUUCCGACCUGCACGAAUGGCGUAAUGAUGGCCAGGCUGUCUCCACCCGAGACUCAGUGAAAUUGAACUCGCUGUGAAGAUGCAGUGUACCCGCGGCAAGACGGAAAGACCCCGUGAACCUUUACUAUAGCUUGACACUGAACAUUGAGCCUUGAUGUGUAGGAUAGGUGGGAGGCUUUGAAGCGUGGACGCCAGUCUGCGUGGAGCCAACCUUGAAAUACCACCCUUUAAUGUUUGAUGUUCUAACGUUGGCCCCUGACCGGGGUUGCGGACAGUGUCUGGUGGGUAGUUUGACUGGGGCGGUCUCCUCCCAAAGCGUAACGGAGGAGCACGAAGGUUAGCUAAUCCUGGUCGGACAUCAGGAGGUUAGUGCAAUGGCAUAAGCUAGCUUGACUGCGAGCGUGACGGCGCGAGCAGGUGCGAAAGCAGGUCAUAGUGAUCCGGUGGUUCUGAAUGGAAGGGCCAUCGCUCAACGGAUAAAAGGUACUCCGGGGAUAACAGGCUGAUACCGCCCAAGAGUUCAUAUCGACGGCGGUGUUUGGCACCUCGAUGUCGGCUCAUCACAUCCUGGGGCUGAAGUAGGUCCCAAGGGUAUGGCUGUUCGCCAUUUAAAGUGGUACGCGAGCUGGGUUUAGAACGUCGUGAGACAGUUCGGUCCCUAUCUGCCGUGGGCGCUGGAGAAUUGAGGGGGGCUGCUCCUAGUACGAGAGGACCGGAGUGGACGCAUCACUGGUGUUCGGGUUGUCAUGCCAAUGGCACUGCCCGGUAGCUAAAUGCGGAAGAGAUAAGUGCUGAAAGCAUCUAAGCACGAAACUUGCCCCGAGAUGAGUUCUCCCUGAGACUAUAAGUCUCCUGAAGGAACGUUGAAGACGACGACGUUGAUAGGCCGGGUGUGUAAGCGCAGCGAUGCGUUGAGCUAACCGGUACUAAUGAACCGUGAGGCUUAACCUU
RNAcentral lists this ribosomal RNA (2900 nucleotides) under Klebsiella pneumoniae. RNAcentral's name for it is "bacterial LSU rRNA". It matches the Rfam family "Bacterial large subunit ribosomal RNA". Lineage: Bacteria; Pseudomonadati; Pseudomonadota; Gammaproteobacteria; Enterobacterales; Enterobacteriaceae. The record is from RNAcentral.